UGAAAGAGAUGGUGUCAUCGCU
RNAcentral lists this non-coding RNA (22 nucleotides) under Rattus norvegicus (Norway rat). Lineage: Eukaryota; Metazoa; Chordata; Mammalia; Rodentia; Muridae. The record is from RNAcentral.